GGUACCUCCAAGCGCGUGCAUGGACACAUGUUGCCGAUGUGUGACUCGUGGUGACUGCGGUACUGCUUUCUCAAGAGUCUUGUGGAAAAAUUGUCUGUGUCUACUGCCGCAAAUGGAGUUGCUUUAAUGUGCAGGGAGGACGAAGCAGGAGUGAUCCUGGUUUCACAAUAAUGGAACACAGCAUAUAGUUGAAGUGAAGAAGCAUUUUUCAUUUUGCCUUUGCUUAGGUUCGGGCAAAAUUGUUUCAUUUGUCGGACAAUGCUCUUCUCAUACAGAUACAUGGAAAGACGCUACAGUGAAAAAGAUUGGAAGCAUUUUGUAACUGAAACUGAAAUGGAUGGCUAGUUCAUGAGUGAUAUGUCAUUGUAAAAAACAAGCAUCAUAGCUGACAUAUAUCGUUAAAAUAAGAAAACAAUGAGCGGAUACUAUGGUCAACUGAUGUAGCUCUAAACGAAAGUGAACAAAUUUGUUCUUUCUUUGGUCCGAUGAACAGAUAAAGGCUAAUAAAGCUGGUAGCGUUGAAUCAUUGAAAAGCUUGCUGAAACAAAGGUGCGGCUCACAACCAAACAACAUCAUGGUCAACCACGAAUCGUGCUCAAAGCCUUGUACUGAAAACUUUAGAUAUGUGAUCUCGGAUCGUUAAGGCCCUUAUAGCUUCAGGCGUAUUGUGGUUGUCUUUGCUUCAGACUGUUAAGGCAAGGAUGAGGACUUCGAAAGUAAAAGGGUAUUCAAUUUACAUGUUUCAUUUUGAUUCAUUUACAAAAACCUAAGAUUAGGUGAUCUCUCGUAGGACUUGUUCAUGGAUCACGUCUUUCUUACAUUAUUAGGUAUUUUUUAAAUUAAACUUAGACGAGUAAAUCA
Actinia tenebrosa (Australian red waratah sea anemone) is the source of this 861-nucleotide long non-coding RNA. RefSeq lists it as uncharacterized. The record is from RefSeq and is a predicted model, not a curated record. NCBI's taxonomy places the organism in Eukaryota, Metazoa, Cnidaria, Anthozoa, Actiniaria, Actiniidae.